This 305-nucleotide ribosomal RNA is filed under the name uncultured bacterium. RNAcentral describes it as "bacterial SSU rRNA". It matches the Rfam family "Bacterial small subunit ribosomal RNA", at positions 337 to 635 of the family's 1533-position model. The record is from RNAcentral.
GCCUACGGGGGGCAGCAGUAGGGAAUUUUCGUCAAUGGGCGCAAGCCUGAACGAGCAAUGCCGCGUGAACGAGGAAGGUCUUCGGAUCGUAAAGUUCAGUUGAAGGGGAAAAAGAGCGGAGAGAGGAAAUGGUCUCCGAUUGAUAUUACCCUUCGAGGAAGUCACGGCUAACUACGUGCCAGCAGCCGCGGUAAUACGUAGGUGGCGAGCGUUAUCCGGAAUGAUUGGACGUAAAGGGUGCGCAGGCGGCCUGCUAAGUCUGGAGUGAAAGGUACCGGCUCAACCGGUACAGGCUCUGGAAACUG